AGAAUCUGUCCAUCAGCUGAGAGACAAACUGGAGGAUUUCUGCAAAGAGCAGCUCAAGAAGAUCUCAGACAGAGUCACAUUCACCAGCAUUGAUCUCUGGACCAGGAACGACUUCCUACAAUAUUCCCAUCAGUUCACUCUGGAUCUGAACACAGUGAAUAAUUACCUCCGUUUGUCUGAGAACAACAGAGUGAUUACUGACACUGGUACAGAUCAGUCGUAUCCUGAUCAUCCAGACAGAUUUGAUGAUGUGUGUCAGGUGUUGUGUAGAGAGAGUGUGUGUGGACGCUGUUACUGGGAGAUUGAGUGGAGUGGUUUAUUUGGUGUGUGUAUAUCAGUGUCAUAUAAGAGCAUCAGCAGGAAGGGACGGGGUAAAGAGUGUGUGUUUGGACGUAAUGAUCAGUCCUGGAGUUUGUGCUGCUUUUCCUCCAGUUACUCAUUCAGACACAAUAACAUAAAGACUGAUCUCCCUGUGAAGCCCAUCAGCAGUAGAAUAGGAGUGUUUGAUGAUGAUGAUGAUGAUAAGGAGGAGGAGGAGGAAGAGGAGGAUGAUGAUGAUGAUGAUAAGGAGGAGGAGGAGGAA
Molecule: long non-coding RNA, 583 nt
Organism: Carassius auratus (goldfish)
Lineage: Eukaryota; Metazoa; Chordata; Actinopteri; Cypriniformes; Cyprinidae
Exons: 3
Source: RefSeq, a predicted model, not a curated record